GUGACAUGAAACUAACUGUCCUUCAGUAUCAAGGGGUUUUAGGCUAGCUCAAGUCCUUUUCAGGGCUGAGACCGUUUCCCAAGUAGUCGUAGACCAAAGCUACUGACUACUCAUCACUCAGGGUCGGCAUUACUACUAGGCAGAUUCAAGGGAGACUUUCAUCACACAGAAAAAACACGAUUUCGAUUCCACUUCAGCACUUUAUUGGGUGAUUUGUUUGGUGUGGAUGUGGGUUGUGUGAAGUGUAGGUGGUUUGGGGCACUCUUACCGCGCAGCUCAGCUGGUUCUCGUGCCGGAUGGUCGCCGCCGGAGGAGCUCCUUCGCUCACACUCCGCGGCUAGAACUGUCCCGCUCGUGGGGAGGGGGGAGGGGGGCUUGUUCUGCUGGCUGACGGUGGCUUGUUGUUCUGCGCUGCGGUUGUCCGGUCUUCGGCGCCGGAUGCAGCGAUUCUGUGGCCUUCACGGCCGGUACGGUGGUCUCCGGACUUCGUGCCGGGUCGGUUGGACGCACAGCGGGCGUUGCUGGCUUCGUCGGGCAGGCUUCUUCCCUCGUUGGCGAAUCGGCAGCCCCAGAGUCCACUGAUUCGGGCUGCCGAGAGGGGACUCUCCUUAACGAUUAAGGCCAGCGGCCUGAGAGCUGUCGUCCUUGGCGUUGAUGGCGCGGGGAGGCGCCAGACGACGGGGGUGGUCCUACUACGUUUAGACGUGGGAAGCUACCAACAUGGGAUUCACGCAACCCAGGCCGACCAAUCCGAAACGGACUCGCACUCGCGGAACCUCCGGGUUCCGCCGUUGUGGGGGCGCUUGACUACCGCCACUUGGAGCGCGACCAGUCCGCUCGGAAGCCUGAAUACAAGAGAGCGAUCUUCCCCAGAUCGAGCUUUCUUUUUGGUUUUCCCGAGUCCAUUUUCCCACCAAUUCCUAAUGUGUCAACAGCUGCGCUGUCAGGACACCCCACCGGGAAAUUGGUGGGCUUCAGCCUCGCAUACACUGUAAGAUUUGCCCCAUCCCACUGUCAAGUGUAGUGAGAUGGUAAUAAAAAUACUGAAGUGAAACUUUCCUUCGUCAAGAAUUGUGACCAACGGUUACACUAUCCACUACCCCGGCGAAAAAAUGUGAAUGCACGAAGUUCAUGAACAUUUUUUUAAAACGACUAGCAUUUCCAAAAUCAUCUUCGGCACUCCUCUGGUUCGUGGAUUAGCGCAAAUGGUCACGUUGUUUAUGUACAAGCCUCACUUUAGGCGAUUUUUGCAUUUCCCAGUGAUAACCAAUCACAGAUCAAUCAAAAUUAUAUACAAAAUUAAACUAAUUGGCCAAAUAAACAAAUACAAAUAAAUAAAUUAAAAAGUAGACAUGCACUACAAAUUAAAAUAAAUUAUUAAAAUGAAUCCCAAAAUAUUGGUAGACAUCUCUAUUUACAUUUCACAAAAGUGCGUUGCAACGACUUUAAAUUUUCAUGAACGAUUAACAUUUCAUCCACUUUUAGAUCACUUUCGAUCUCUCAAAGAAAUUCACCACAGGGGUUCAUUCCUGACGGGCAAACUGUUUGACAGUUCCCGAAACGUCUCUAAUCUGUCAAACUCAACAUGACGCAAUGUUUACAUUGUAAAUUAUGCAAAAGUUGAGCGAAAAGUUCAAGUUCGGUGAAACAACCGUCGAAAAGUGCACUUUUUCGACGAUAUGUUGUGGUAAGUACCAAAUAAAUUUAGCAUAACGAAGAUCUUCUUUUUCAGGGUAAAUUGACUAGUAUUGGUGUGCUCGUUUGAGCGAAAUUGACGAGGUGGAACGUCGCUGCCAGAGUCGACUUUUUCUUCAAAAAGUGACCUGCAGGAGUCCACAAAUAUCCCGGGAUUCACCGUGAUAGCCAUCUUGACGCGCAAGAUGAGCUACAGGCCUUAAUUGCCGGGCAAUCCCCUCACCGCAACACCACCAGCCGCGCUCGGACCGAGGGAAAUAACUUUUGACCCCUUGAUCGUCCGCGAACUGGCCCGUUGGGCUAUGGAUUCCCGAUGAUGAUAAUCUUCACUUUUCGGUUCUGCGGCUGAGGAGACAGGUAAUCCCGGUCAGCUGAUCUGGUCCAGGGUAAAUGGGACAUCGCCCUGUAACCCCUGGCGCCCAAAUCGGUGCCGACCGUGGCCAAGAUCUUCCUGCAGCGACAACGUACUAGGUGUUAAUUACUAGAUUUAAGAAUAAUAAAAGAAAUUUAGUGCGAAUAAAGUUUUUAGUUCGGGGCUUUCCCCUAUAACGGUGCUUGUUCUCAUUAUAGAAAGAAACAAGACUUGAAACGGUUCCAAUCGCCUACCAGGGAUGACUUCCUCAUAUGCCUGGGUCACCGGCGAACCUCCAAAUUCUCAAAUUUCAGCUUUUGGCCACCUCCCGGGCAAGACUCCGCCUGCUUCCGGUUCAUUGGUGCCUUCAAUUUAGUUUGUGGAUGGCCUCACAGGACUUACGCAUUGCCUAAUGUCUCGGCCACUUCCAACAGGUAACAUAAAGGUAAGUUCGGGUGUUUUGCCUCUCCAAUGAUGGGUCAACGGCAGUCGUGGGUUCUGGGUUUUAAUCUCUUUAAUCGAAUAAUCAUCCGUCGCCGGCCUCUCGCGAGCCGAUCGAACAGACUGCCGACCUGCGCUAGGUCGUUACUGUUAAUUAUCUCCACAACACUACUGGCUGAAGCAGAUAGCAAAACGAUCUCGACGAUCGCGAUCUCUCCUACUGUUUGUUGUUGUUGUUUUUGUGUGUGUUAGUGGAUAGUACGGUGUGUUGUUUUAAUCAGAUUGAUCGUCAAGUCCAAACACAAAAGGACGAGACAAAAUAAAUAACAAUUAUUGCUGCUGCGUUGGUUGUCGAUAAUAUCACAGAUUGGGACAAUGUUUAUCACAGAAGUUAUGUACAGGCAGCAUAAAAGUGUUCCAAAGUUGCUGCUGACCAAAAUCCACGAAUUGAGACGUGCCGAAAACGAUUUUGGAAAGCGCAAGUGAUCCUCAUUGCAUUCAGGACCGUAAUGGACCGCGGUAUAGUGCAAUUCACACUAGUUUCGCUAGGGUAAGUGGACAGUGACCAACCGAGAUUGCUCGGAUUCCUGCCACCUCCCGUUGGAAAAAUCCUUAGAUUUUUCUGCAUGAAUCAAUCAACCUUGAUCGCCGUUUGUUGCUUUUCCUGCUAGGAGCCAAUUGAAACUAACUGUCCUUCAGUAUCAAGGGGUUUUAGGCUAGCUCAAGUCCUUUUCAGGGCUGAGACCGUUUCCCAAGUAGUCGUAGACCAAAGCUACUGACUACUCAUCACUCAGGGUCGGCAUUACUACUAGGCAGAUUCAAGGGAGACUUUCAUCACACAGAAAAAACACGAUUUCGAUUCCACUUCAGCACUUUAUUGGGUGAUUUGUUUGGUGUGGAUGUGGGUUGUGUGAAGUGUAGGUGGUUUGGGGCACUCUUACCGCGCAGCUCAGCUGGUUCUCGUGCCGGAUGGUCGCCGCCGGAGGAGCUCCUUCGCUCACACUCCGCGGCUAGAACUGUCCCGCUCGUGGGGGGGGGGGGGGGCUUGUUCUGCUGGCUGACGGUGGCUUGUUGUUCUGCGCUGCGGUUGUCCGGUCUUCGGCGCCGGAUGCAGCGAUUCUGUGGCCUUCACGGCCGGUACGGUGGUCUCCGGACUUCGUGCCGGGUCGGUUGGACGCACAGCGGGCGUUGCUGGCAUCGUCGGGCAGGCUUCUUCCCUCGUUGGCGAAUCGGCAGCCCCAGAGUCCACUGAUUCGGGCUGCCGAGAGGGGACUCUCCUUAACGAUUAAGGCCAGCGGCCUGAGAGCUGUCGUCCUUGGCGUUGAUGGCGCGGGGAGGCGCCAGACGACGGGGGUGGUCCUACUACGUUUAGACGUGGGAAGCUACCAACAUGGGAUUCACGCAACCCAGGCCGACCAAUCCGAAACGGACUCGCACUCGCGGAACCUCCGGGUUCCGCCGUUGUGGGGGCGCUUGACUACCGCCACUUGGAGCGCGACCAGUCCGCUCGGAAGCCUGAAUACAAGAGAGCGAUCUUCCCCAGAUCGAGCUUUCUUUUUGGUUUUCCCGAGUCCAUUUUCCCACCAAUUCCUAAUGUGUCAACAGCUGCGCUGUCAGGACACCCCACCGGGAAAUUGGUGGGCUUCAGCCUCGCAUACACUGUAAGAUUUGCCCCAUCCCACUGUCAAGUGUAGUGAGAUGGUAAUAAAAAUACUGAAGUGAAACUUUCCUUCGUCAAGAAUUGUGACCAACGGUUACAGACAUUGGGUCUGGGAAUCUAUGACAUUUCCCCGAAACCCACAUUCCCGAAGAGACAUUUCCCCGAAUGCCACAUCUUCGAAAAGACACUUUCCCGAAAUGUCAUUUACCCGAAAAUCAUUUCCCCGAACAAUCCAUUUCCCCGAACGGCCACAUCCCCGAAUGGCGACUUCCCCUAAAAACCAUUUUCCCGAAUGGCCACUUCCCCUAAUUUUCCACAUCCCUGAAAAUCAUUUUCCCGAAUGACCAUAUCCCCGAACGGCCAUUUUCCCGAACGCCACUUC
Culex pipiens pallens (northern house mosquito) is the source of this 4530-nucleotide long non-coding RNA. RefSeq lists it as uncharacterized. The record is from RefSeq and is a predicted model, not a curated record. The transcript has 3 exons. NCBI's taxonomy places the organism in Eukaryota, Metazoa, Arthropoda, Insecta, Diptera, Culicidae.